This 440-nucleotide ribosomal RNA is filed under the name uncultured bacterium. RNAcentral's name for it is "partial 16S ribosomal RNA". It matches the Rfam family "Bacterial small subunit ribosomal RNA", at positions 338 to 795 of the family's 1533-position model. The record is from RNAcentral.
CCUACGGGAGGCAGCAGUGGGGAAUAUUGCACAAUGGGGGAAACCCUGAUGCAGCGACGCCGCGUGAGUGAAGAAGUAAUUCGUUAUGUAAAGCUCUAUCAGCAGGGAAGAAAAUGACGGUACCUGAGUAAGAAGCCCCGGCUAACUACGUGCCAGCAGCCGCGGUAAUACGUAGGGGGCAAGCGUUAUCCGGAUUUACUGGGUGUAAAGGGAGCGUAGACGGGAGUGCAAGUCUGGAGUGAAAGGCGGGGGCUCAACCCCCGGACUGCCCUUGAAACUGUACGGCUUGAGUGCAGGAGAGGUAAGUGGAAUUCCUAGUCUAGCGGUGAAAUGCGUAGAUAUUAGGAGGAACACCAGUGGCGAAGGCGACUUACUGGACUGUAACUGACGUUGAGGCUCGAAAGCGUGGGGAGCAAACAGGAUUAGAUACCCCUGUAGUC